RNAcentral lists this ribosomal RNA (1372 nucleotides) under uncultured bacterium. RNAcentral describes it as "bacterial SSU rRNA". It matches the Rfam family "Bacterial small subunit ribosomal RNA", at positions 28 to 1381 of the family's 1533-position model. The record is from RNAcentral.
GAUAAACGCUGGCGGCGUGCCUAAUACAUGCAAGUCGAGCGAACGGACGAGAAGCUUGCUUCUCUGAUGUUAGCGGCGGACGGGUGAGUAACACGUGGAUAACCUACCUAUAAGACUGGGAUAACUUCGGGAAACCGGAGCUAAUACCGGAUAAUAUUUUGAACCGCAUGGUUCAAAAGUGAAAGACGGUCUUGCUGUCACUUAUAGAUGGAUCCGCGCUGCAUUAGCUAGUUGGUAAGGUAACGGCUUACCAAGGCAACGAUGCAUAGCCGACCUGAGAGGGUGAUCGGCCACACUGGAACUGAGACACGGUCCAGACUCCUACGGGAGGCAGCAGUAGGGAAUCUUCCGCAAUGGGCGAAAGCCUGACGGAGCAACGCCGCGCGAGUGAUGAAGGUCUUCGGAUCGUAAAACUCUGUUAUUAGGGAAGAACAUAUGUGUAAGUAACUGUGCACAUCUUGACGGUACCUAAUCAGAAAGCCACGGCUAACUACGUGCCAGCAGCCGCGGUAAUACGUAGGUGGCAAGCGUUAUCCGGAAUUAUUGGGCGUAAAGCGCGCGUAGGCGGUUUUUUAAGUCUGAUGUGAAAGCCCACGGCUCAACCGUGGAGGGUCAUUGGAAACUGGAAAACUUGAGUGCAGAAGAGGAAAGUGGAAUUCCACGUGUAGCGGUGAAAUGCGCAGAGAUAUGGAGGAACACCAGUGGCGAAGGCGACUUUCUGGUCUGUAACUGACGCUGAUGUGCGAAAGCGUGGGGAUCAAACAGGAUUAGAUACCCUGGUAGUCCACGCCGUAAACGAUGAGUGCUAAGUGUUAGGGGGUUUCCGCCCCUUAGUGCUGCAGCUAACGCAUUAAGCACUCCGCCUGGGGAGUACGACCGCAAGGUUGAAACUCAAAGGAAUUGACGGGGACCCGCACAAGCGGUGGAGCAUGUGGUUUAAUUCGAAGCAACGCGAAGAACCUUACCAAAUCUUGACAUCCUUUGACAACUCUAGAGAUAGAGCCUUCCCCUUCGGGGGACAAAGUGACAGGUGGUGCAUGGUUGUCGUCAGCUCGUGUCGUGAGAUGUUGGGUUAAGUCCCGCAACGAGCGCAACCCUUAAGCUUAGUUGCCAUCAUUAAGUUGGGCACUCUAAGUUGACUGCCGGUGACAAACCGGAGGAAGGUGGGGAUGACGUCAAAUCAUCAUGCCCCUUAUGAUUUGGGCUACACACGUGCUGCAAUGGACAAUACAAAGGGCAGCGAAACCGCGAGGUCAAGCAAAUCCCAUAAAGUUGUUCUCAGUUCGGAUUGUAGUCUGCAACUCGACUACAUGAAGCUGGAAUCGCUAGUAAUCGUAGAUCAGCAUGCUACGGUGAAUACGUUCCCGGGUCU